UUUCCGUAGGUGAACCUGCGGAAGGAUCAUUAUCGUACAAAAUGUGAGGGGCAUGCGAGUGCUGUCGCUGGCCCAACAGUCGUGCACGCCCGAGUGUCUCCUCUUGCAUAAUAAUCCUUCUCACCCUUUGUGCAUCACCGCGUGGGCACGCUUCCGGAUCAUCUCGGAGGGGGGCGCGCGUUAUCACACAAACCCCCCUUUUAAAAGUGUAUAAGGACCACAUUUAUACAAUCAAUACAACUUUCAACAACGGAUCUCUUGGCUCUC
This 267-nucleotide unclassified non-coding RNA is filed under the name plant metagenome. Its description in RNAcentral is "partial contains small subunit ribosomal RNA, internal transcribed spacer 1, and 5.8S ribosomal RNA". The record is from RNAcentral.